AGGGGCAUGGUGUUAAUGGUAGCACAUCGGUCUCCAAAACCGAGAGUCUGGGUUCAAAUCCUAGUGCCCCUGCCA
RNAcentral lists this transfer RNA (75 nucleotides) under Nitrospira sp. Its description in RNAcentral is "tRNA-Trp". It matches the Rfam family "tRNA". Rfam says of the family: Transfer RNA (tRNA) molecules are approximately 80 nucleotides in length. Their secondary structure includes four short double-helical elements and three loops (D, anti-codon, and T loops). RNAcentral also lists the same sequence under 7 other names. Lineage: Bacteria; Pseudomonadati; Nitrospirota; Nitrospiria; Nitrospirales; Nitrospiraceae. The record is from RNAcentral.